RNAcentral lists this ribosomal RNA (836 nucleotides) under uncultured Fibrobacter sp. RNAcentral's name for it is "bacterial SSU rRNA". It matches the Rfam family "Bacterial small subunit ribosomal RNA", at positions 48 to 916 of the family's 1533-position model. Lineage: Bacteria; Pseudomonadati; Fibrobacterota; Fibrobacteria; Fibrobacterales; Fibrobacteraceae. The record is from RNAcentral.
CUAACACAUGCAGUCUAGGGGUAGCAAUACCACUGGCGCACGGGUGAGUAACACGUAGGUUAUCUGCCCCUAUCACAGACAUAACCUCGGGAAACCGAGGCUAAUAUCUGAUGAGGUCGCGAGAUCAAAGCUUCGGCGGAUAGGGAUGAGCCUGCGGCUGAUUAGCUAGUUGGUGAGGUAAUGGCUCACCAAGGCGACGAUCAGUAGCUGGUCUGAGAGGACGAACAGCCACACUGGAACUGAGACACGGUCCAGACUCCUACGGGAGGCAGCAGUGAGGAAUAUUGGUCAAUGGGAGCAAUCCUGAACCAGCAAUGCCGCGUGUGGGAUGACAGGGCUUCGCCUUGUAAACCACUGUCGGAUGGGACGAAAGGAACCCUCGGGGUUCUGGGACGGUACCAUCAAAGGAAGGGUCGGCUAACUACGUGCCAGCAGCCGCGGUAAUACGUAGGACCCGAGCGUUGUCCGGAUUUACUGGGUAUAAAGGGUGCGUAGGCGGCCUUGUGCGUCAGAGGUGAAAUAUCCGGGCUUAACCCGGAGGGUGCCUUUGAUACGGCAGGGCUUGAGUGCGAGAGAGGAUGAUGGAAUUCCUGGUGUAGCGGUGAAAUGCGUAGAUAUCAGGAGGAACACCGGUGGCGAAGGCGGUCAUCUGGCUCGCAACUGACGCUGAGGCACGAAAGCGCGGGGAUCAAACAGGAUUAGAUACCCUGGUAGUCCGCGCCCUAAACGAUGUAUGCUUGGUGUUGGGCCCGCAAGGGUUCAGUGCCGUAGGGAAUCUGAUAAGCAUACCACCUGGGGAGUACGAUCGCAAGGUUGAAACUCAAAGGAAUUGACGG